UUUGAUUUUUUUUAAAGAAAUUGAUAAGAGAAACAGCAACACAUUAUCACUACUCUGUUGUCAUUUCCUUCAAUACAACACGAGUAAUUCUUUCAAUUAACUCUUCUGUUACCACCACAAGGGUCAACAACGAGUCACACCUACAAGCUUUCCUUCUCCUAAGCUUUUUAACAACUUUCGGUGGCGUCACAGCAGUUUCCCGUGAAGGUAGUUUUUCUUCCUUCUCUGUUACUACAACUUCAUUCGUUUCAUUGCCGGGCAGAAUCUCCUUUGUUUCCUCUGUUCGGUCUACUACCAGAGGUCCAUCGCCAUUUUCUGUAACAUUCCUACUCUUCACAGAUGUGUCCUUGAUGGUUUCAUGUGAAGGUAGUUUUUCUUCUUUCUCUGUUACUGAAAUUUCAUUCGUUUUAUUGCCGGGCAGAAUCUCCUUUGUUUUCUCUGUUCGGUCAACUAUCAGAGGUCCAUCGCCAUUUUCUGUAACAUUCCUACUCUUCACAGAUGUGUCCUUGAUGGUUUCAUGUGAAGGUAGUUUUUCUUCUUUCUCUGUCACUACAACUUCAUUCGUUUUAUUGCCGGGCAGAAUCUCCUUUGUUUCCUCUGUUCGUUCUACUAUCAGAGGUCCAUCGUCAUUUUCUGUAACAUUCCUACUCUCCACAGCUGUUUCCUUGAUGGUUUCAUGUGAAGGUAGUUUUUCUUCUUUCUCUGUUACAACAAUUUCAUUCGUUUUAUUGCCGGGCAGAAUCUCCUUUGUUUUCUCUGUUCGUUCUACUAUCAGAGGUCCAUCGCCAUUUUCUGAAGCAUUUCUACUCUCCACAGAUGUCAUCGAAAUGCUUUCCUGUGAAGGUAGUCUUUCUUCUUUCUCUGUUACAACAAUUUCAUUCGUUUUAUUGCCGGGCAGAAUCUCCAUUGUUUUCUCUGUUCGUUCUACUUUCUGAGGUCCAUCGCCAUUUUCUGAAGCAUUUCUACUCUCCUCCACAGAUGUCAUCGAAAUGCUUUUCUGUGAAGGUAGUUUUUCUUCUUUCUCUGUUACUGUAAUGUCAUUUGUUUCAUUGCCGGGCAGAAUCUCUUUUGUUUUCUCUGUCUGUUCUACUAUCAGAGGUCUAUCGCCAUUUUCUGUUACAUUCUUAGUCUCCACAGAUGUCUCCUUAAUGGUUUCCUGUGAAGGUAGCUUUUCUUCUUUUUCUGUUACUAACAUUUCAUUCGUUUUAUUGCCGGGAAGAAUCUCAAUGGUUUUCUCUGUCCGUUCUACUUUCUGACGUCCGUCGCUCUGAUCCGUAUCAUUCUUACUUUCCACACAUGUUUCCCUAAUGGUUUCCUCUAAAGGCAGUUUUUCUUCUUUCUCUGUUGCUAAUAUUUGAUUCGUUUUAUUGCCUGGCAGAAUCUCCUUUGUUACCUCUGUUCGUUCUACUUUCAGAGAUCCAUUGCCCUUUUCUGUAAAAUUCUUACUCUCCACAAAUGUCUCGUUGAUGAUUUCCUGUGAAGGUAGUUUUUCUUCUUUCUCUGUUACGAAAGCUUCAUUCGUUUUAUUGCCGGGCAGAAUCUCCACUGUUUUUUCUGUUCGUUCUACCUUCUGAGGCCCAGCGCCAUUUUCUGUUACAUUCUCAGUCUCCACAGAUGUCUCUAUAAUGGUUUCCUGUGAAGGUAGUUUUUCUUCUUUCUCGGUCACUUUCCUUUCCAUGGUCUUGAUAGUGUCAUCCGCGCCAUUUUGCAAACCUGUCUUCAUUCUCUCAAGAUCAGAGAAUUUGGGGGAAUCUUUGAGUACCCCCUCGUCAAUUUUCUUCCAUAGGUCCUCACCGGCCUUCUCCAGGCUAGCAGAGGGCACCCCGUCCUUUGGGACCCCAGUGGAGCCCGCCCCGCCGGCCAAGUGCUGGCUGCUGGCAGCCAGAUUCCCUAGGAUAAUGACGAUCGUCCAAACAACGAAGAGCUUCAUAAUUGACGCUUGUGAGAUGAUAUUAAAAAUAAUUACGGUUUUGUGGCAGAAAACCGCUUU
Eriocheir sinensis (Chinese mitten crab) is the source of this 1990-nucleotide RNA transcript. RefSeq lists it as uncharacterized. NCBI's taxonomy places the organism in Eukaryota, Metazoa, Arthropoda, Malacostraca, Decapoda, Varunidae. The transcript has 4 exons. The record is from RefSeq and is a predicted model, not a curated record.